AAGAAAAUAGAGAUAUGGAAAUUGAUAAGAAUCCUUUUCCAUCACAGGUCAAUGCCGUGAACAUGAAAGGGAAAGGAAAAGCGACUGCGAAAAGGUAGAUCCAAGAAGAAAUAGACGAGAGUCGGCUCAUAUUAGCCGACCAGGAAAACGAAAAUAAAGAAAUUAACAGAAGUUCGUUUUUAUUUCAGGUUAAUAUGGUGAAUGUUAAAGGAAAAGAGAUUUUGGACAAGGAGACCGCUGACAACGUGGC
This 250-nucleotide long non-coding RNA is filed under the name Ananas comosus (pineapple). RNAcentral describes it as "long non-coding RNA (ACOM_LNC007134)". The record is from RNAcentral. Lineage: Eukaryota; Viridiplantae; Streptophyta; Magnoliopsida; Poales; Bromeliaceae.